UACGUAGGGUGCAAGCGUUGUCCGGAAUUAUUGGGCGUAAAGAGCUCGUAGGCGGUCUGUCGCGUCGGCUGUGAAAUCCCGAGGCUCAACCUCGGGUCUGCAGUCGAUACGGGCAAACUGGAGUGUUGCAGGGGAGACUGGAAUUCCUGGUGUAGCGGUGAAAUGCGUAGAUAUCGAGAGGAACACCAGUGGCGAAGGCGAGUCCCUGGAAAACACCUGACACUGAGGCACGAAAGCUAGGGGAGCAAACAGG
Molecule: ribosomal RNA, 253 nt
Filed under: uncultured bacterium
Lineage: Bacteria
Description: partial 16S ribosomal RNA
Rfam family: Bacterial small subunit ribosomal RNA
Source: RNAcentral